GAGGUAAAGGUAGCCUGGAAAAUGG
RNAcentral lists this non-coding RNA (25 nucleotides) under Mus musculus (house mouse). Lineage: Eukaryota; Metazoa; Chordata; Mammalia; Rodentia; Muridae. The record is from RNAcentral.